Long non-coding RNA from Myotis lucifugus (little brown bat), 3214 nucleotides. RefSeq lists it as uncharacterized. The transcript is spliced from 2 exons. NCBI's taxonomy places the organism in Eukaryota, Metazoa, Chordata, Mammalia, Chiroptera, Vespertilionidae. The record is from RefSeq and is a predicted model, not a curated record.
CAGCCUGAGGUGUCUGAGCUCUCUGAUGGAGGACCGCGGCCCCCGCAGCCCCUUCGCCCUCCACGUCGGCAGCACCAGGUCCUGGGCCGCCCUGUUCUCCGCCUCCGCCUCCGGGCCCGGGGGCAGGACCCCCGCCGGGACCCCGGUGCCCGAGCCUCUCGCCCCCUCCUUUGAUGACCUGGCCUGCAAGGAGGAGCUGUGCUGGGAGGAGGCGGAGGGCUGCGCCCCGGACGAGGGCUGUGGCAGGCGGGGGGAGCCUGCCCCUGCCUGGCGGGACCGGGUGGCCGAGAGCAGCCCCUGCUCCCUGGACGGCGAGUUGGAUAUUGAACAAAUAGAGAAUAACUGAGGCCCGGCCCGGGCAGGUGGCGCACCAGGAUCCACGCCUCCCUCUGGGCACGGGCAGGCGCUUGAAGCGGGAGCCCCACUCCUGGGCCUGAGAAAGCAUUCGGAAGGAGUCGGGUCCCCGGGAGCGCGCCCCCUCCUCCUGCAGAGGCGCUCCUGCCCGCAGAGCUCCCGGCCCAGGGCGCCCACCCGGCCACGCCGCCAGCGGAAUGGAGCCCGGCCCUGACCAGUGGGCCACGGGCCACAGAACUGCUGUGGGUUUGGGUCUCCCCGCCUUUUCCUCGUGGGACGUGGGCCCCACGCAUCCCAGGCGCCUGCCGGGCACGCAUCCCCGCUCUGCCUGCUGCCCUGGCUGGGGUUCGACCCUUCGGGGCUUGUUGGGGGCUCAGGCCCAUCCAGGGGUGUCGGGUCCUUCUAGGCCACCUGCUCAGGUUCCGUGGGGGGUCGCCCCCAGCUUCUUUCACUCAGUCUUACUCUGUGCCUUGCCUCCGGGCCCCGCCUCAGGCUGGAAGGUUCCGGAGGCGCUUCCUUCUGCAGCAGCACCAGACCCGAGUGGCCUUAAUUCCGAGUGAGAGACAGAGGCCCGGGGCCGGGGGGCCUCCGCGUCUGAACUCUCGGGGGCCAGGGAACAACUUGGGGUGCUUGUCAGAGGCCAUCUAUGGGGGGCAGACACGGGGUGGGGAGACAGACCCGCUUACCUCCCCCGUGUGUGGCCAGCCCGGCCCCGUGGCUCCCGGCCACUCCGGGGCCCACUCUGCAGGGUUGGCAGGGGGCAGCCGUUCCCCGUGCCACCCGGUCACUGAGGGAUGGGCUUAGUUGAUUCCGGGAGCGGAGAGAUGGCACCAUGGAAGGUCAACCUUUUGAAAACGUCCUCAGGAGGCGGGAGGGUGAGCAGGUGCCCACGCCAGGCCGGUGCCCAGGUCAGGGUGCGGGUGUCGCUGGCCGCUCCGGGGCCUGGUCGAGGGCCUGCACAGCCCCCUGCGGAAUUCCAGGCGCAUGCUCGAUGGUGGUGGACGUUCCCUGGGGGCUUUAAUCAGGGCGCCCGUCCACCUCGAGACAGACCCCCCGUGCUCAGCAGGAGCAGUGUGUGUUCAUUGCCGCCUCCUUGCCCAGCCUCACUGUAGGCACAGAGCUCGCACACACGCACCCUCUCCACCCCCCUGCGCUCCACCCGCCCUGCUCCUCGCACCCUGGCGGCCCUGGCGGCAGCGGCGAGGAGCCUGCCCCGAGUCUUCACUCAGCCGCCCGGCUCGGCCCGGCUGCAGACGACCGUGUGGCUGUUGGAAGUGGGCCUUGGUGACCUCGGCACCUUCCGCACACAAUAGCCAUUGGGGGGCUUAUGAGCUGUGGCUCCUCCCAGACAGUAACAGGUUCGGUCACUGCUCGCCCUCUGCCAGCAGCCCUGCCUCCCUCCUGCCGUUUACACCAAAGGCUCGCACCUUCCCGAGGACAGGUCCCACGGAAGCUCUCCUUAAACCUGCACUUUUUACAUCAAAAGGGGUGGCUUUUUCUACAGUCAGCAGAGGCCGCUUGCAGAAAACCCAGCCGUGGCCGUGGGGAUGGUGUUGAGGUCCCCGUUGAUGGGCGGGCGGGCACUGGGCGGGGCCCUGGGCGCCAACCAGCUUCGCCCGAGUGGCUCCCACCCAAGGCACGUCCCCUCGGGCCAUCGAGCACAUCUCGCCGUCCCCACCGGGCGGCUUGUGGAGGGCACGUGUUAGCGGUGACAGAGGAGCUGCAUUCAGAGGCCGCGUGCUCCCUGUGCUCAGCAGCCCGGGUGGGAGGCACUGGGAUUCGGUUGCCGCCAAGAAGAGAGGCCACAGGGGACCAUGGCCUCUAAGGCAGUCCCUCCUGAGAAGGAGCAGGCGCCCACAGCGAGGGGGGCUGAGCCAGGACGGCCUGGGCCGCGGCCCCACAUGCCUCUCCUCGGGCGAAAGAGGGAGCCACGUGGCGGGGGGUGUCCCAGGGCUGCGGUGCAGGUGACCUCAGAUCCAUCCUCCCCUCCUGCCCCCGCGGGUCCCGUCCACCAGCCCCCCCCCCCCCCCAGGGCACUGUCGGGAAGGGGGACUCCAGCCCCGCAGGGCUUGGCCCUCUCCUGUCUCCCAGCCCCUCUGGGCUGUGCUGCCCCGGAAGCUCCUCGCCCACGGCCACGCCCACAGCCCACACCGCAGCAGCGAGGGGAGGGGACAGCCUGGGCCUGGUUGUAUAGUUGUCUUUUGGUUGGAGAGGGCAGCCUUCUUCUAGGAGGUUCUGCCAUGCUGCCCGGAGAGGCCCAUCUGCUCCACCCCCCUAGCCCCUCUGGUCUUGGAGGGGGGCUCCCUCUGACCCGUGUUGACUGUCCCCAGGGGCCGGGGGCAGGCUGGCAGCUCGCCCUGCCGGAGCCUCACUAGUUAGGGUCCUGCCUCAUGGCCGAUGCCCAUGAACUGCUCUGAGGGGGCGGGAGGACAUCACAGCCAGGAGGGAGGGCAGGGCUGCCGGGUCCUGCAGAACAAGGGCCGGGUCGUGGCUCUGGGCGAUGGGUGGGGGAGGAGAGGCCCCCUCUCAUGUGGCCCCUCACCCCAAAGGAGCACCCUCCCCCGCCGCCAGGCUCCCAGACCCCGGAUGGCGGUGAAACCCGCCCGCCCCAGGGCGUGGGCAGGGUGCUGCUGUCCUCACCGUUUACAUGCCACAACCGCUUGCCUUACUCCCGGUGGCCGGGCCCGGGGCCCACGGCACGCACGGCCUCCCGGCCACAGGGCUUGUUCUGACCACACGCAGAUUCCCAUUCUCAGAAAGCCUUACUUUUCAACGAGAGAUUUUUGUAGCAGGAAAGUUUUGUGAAUUUGUUUGCCGGAAGAAAAUGUCAAUAAAGGAGAAGCCACGUGAUCAAACCAAA